Molecule: small nuclear RNA, 107 nt
Organism: Myotis lucifugus (little brown bat)
Lineage: Eukaryota; Metazoa; Chordata; Mammalia; Chiroptera; Vespertilionidae
Source: Ensembl
GUGCUCACUCCAGCAGCACAUAUACUAAAAUUGAAAUGAUACAGAGAAGAUUAGCAAGGCCCCUGCGUAAGGAUGACACAACAAUUUGUAAAGCGGUCCAUAUUUAA